RNAcentral lists this transfer RNA (68 nucleotides) under Ictidomys tridecemlineatus (thirteen-lined ground squirrel). RNAcentral's name for it is "Spermophilus tridecemlineatus (thirteen-lined ground squirrel) tRNA". It matches the Rfam family "tRNA". Rfam says of the family: Transfer RNA (tRNA) molecules are approximately 80 nucleotides in length. Lineage: Eukaryota; Metazoa; Chordata; Mammalia; Rodentia; Sciuridae. The record is from Rfam by way of RNAcentral.
GGGGUUGUGGCUCAGUGGUAGAGUGCUUGCCUAGCAUGCAUGAGUCCUGGAUUCAAUCCUCAGCACCA